This 1058-nucleotide long non-coding RNA is filed under the name Junco hyemalis (dark-eyed junco). RNAcentral describes it as "lncRNA (ENSJHYG00000016158.1)". Lineage: Eukaryota; Metazoa; Chordata; Aves; Passeriformes; Passerellidae. The record is from RNAcentral.
AAGGUUUUUUUAAGUGCAGUGGGGGUUUUUUGGCACUGAUCUUUUCAUAAGUCUUCAGCUUUUAUUUAACAGUUUUCCUUCUCAAUAUUGAUUAUGAUUGCACACUUAUGUCCAUGACUAAACUUAGCUAACAAGAUACAUGAUUUCUGCUCUAGCUUGGAACUCAGUAAUUAAUAAUCCUGUCAGCACAUGACUAUACAACUAGAUUAUGUACAAAGAUCACCAUAACAAUAGUAAAAAAAAGCAAUUUUGGGGUGGGGGGGUGUUGGUUGGUUUGUUUUUUUUCCUAAGAGGGUACGUUAUUUUAAAAGAAAACUAUUUUUGUGUUUCUCUCUUGAUCAGAUACUGGAUAUAGAGAUCAUUCUUUUAGUUAGUCAGCAUUGGUCCCUAAAAAUUUGCUUUACUUUUACUGUUUGUCAUAUGUCAUUUUAUCUUUAAAGACUGCCGGAGUUCAUGAUUCCUGAGAAGUAACACCUUGAAGUUCUGGCACUGUCUUCUAUAAAGUAACUUACACUGAGCUGGCUUCCUGUUACUGUGUCAAUGAAACAUCAAAUGUUCAUACUAUGUGUGAAGCAACAUUUGAUAUUAUGGCUAUUAAGCUACUUGAAAAAAUACUAUACAGAUGGAUUUUGUGUUUACAAGACCUGGCAUUUAAAUAUCUAUAUCAUGGAUGCAGAUCAUCAGUAAGGAUAAAGCAUCCUACGUGUUCAUGCAAGCAGUGCUAUUAUUCUGCCUGCACUGCUUGGUUUUCUGGUCAAGAAGCUAAUUUCAGCAUUGCCAGUGCCCUUUUUUCUUGAAUUCUAGUUCUCUCUAGCACAUGCUCUUCAGGUAUGUAUAGCUUUGUAGGUAUUACAGGGAAAUAUUCUGAAUUCAAAACACAUGUAGUUUCUUUUAAGUCACAUAUAGAUAAGUAGGGUUUGCUACUUGACAGAAUAUCUGAAAAAGUCUGAUUCCUAAACAAAACCAGAACUUUGAUGGUGGAUUUUACUUUCUGUGGUUAACAGGCUAUUUUUACAGUGACAAAUAAAGUCUGUUAGUAAUAAAAAUGAAACCUAGUA